GCCAAACCAUGAAGUGAAGUGGAAAGGAAAGAACACAAACCCUAGGUGGGAAAAUUGAAGAAAAAGUGUGGGAUUUCAAGGGAUUAAGCUAAUAAAGGUAAAAUUUUGUGAUUUUAUCUUGUGAUUUACACUACCCAUGCUUUCUUUUUCAUUUUCCAUGCUUAGAACUCAAGUUUGCAUGAUGAACCCAUGCUGGCCGAAUUUGAGAGGAGGGGUUUUAAGCAUUGAUUUUGCUAGAUUUCAAGCUAAUUAAGUGUUUUUGGUUGUUUGGUAAUGGAAAGUAUGAAAAUCUAGCAAGGAAUCACUUUGUUCUUCACAAACCCACAAGAGGUUGAAUUUUCUAAGGAGGAUAUUGAGGCUGAAAUUGAUGAUAUUUCAUGAUAUUUUGGUGGUAUUUAAUGAUUGGUGAGGCUAGAAAUUUAAUGGGAAAUUUUGGCAUGAAAAUCUGAAUUUUUACCUAAUGUAUAGACAUGUGCGAUUUAUGGUUCAGACUGAUAAAUUGAAUCAUAUUCACAGUCAUUGAGGUAUUUUAAGUAUAAUUGGAGUGUAGAAAGUGAAAGAAAUUGAUUUGGAGUUAAAUUGGAGGUUUUAGCUAAUUACACCAAGAAUAGAGCGAAUUAGGUCGAAUUCCGUAUUUAAACGGCUAUUCAAACAUUUUGCAUCACAUUUCGUGCAUUCAUAUAGAUUUAUAGAGCCUGAAAUAGUUUAUGAUAAAUUGAUACAAUUUAUUGAAAUUCGUGUCACGUAUAAUGUAUAGGUGGUGAGCCCUCUAACAAGGGUAAAGAGAUUGUGCUCGAAGACCGGGAAUAGGAGUAUAUCGAACUCCUAGUACUGUGAGUAACCUUACUAUCGUUUUAAUUAUCUAAAGUGGUUUUAUUCGAUUUUGUGAUUUUAUGAAAAAUGAGUUUAAAUGGUAAAUCUUUAUGUUUUUUAAGCAAAAUGAGAUUAAAUGAAAAUGAUUUUAUAAAAUUGUCUUGAGAUUGAAUGAUGGUUUUGAAAAUAGAGUAAUUGGAGACUGUUUUCAUGUGUUGUAAAUCAUGGUUUGAAUUGAAUGGCUUAUGAUAAUAUUGGCAUGAAUGGUUGAUUUGGUAAAUGUGUUGAAAUGUAUAAACUGUUGUUUGCCUUGAUAGGUUGGAUAAUGAUAAAAUUGCCAUGUCAUGCUGUUGAAUUUUUAUUGCAUGGUGGGUUUAGCUUGCUGCAGUGGGCUGGUUCUAUGGAUCAGCCUACUAGAGGGGCACGAAACCCGAUCAUAUAUAUGUACCUCGAUUGAAGAGGCGCAUAAGGUAACUCCCGAGGUCAAACUUUAGAGUUCACUUCACGCCAAACCACCACGUGAGGGUGAAUUCGGCCAACGCCAAGGAACGACUAUGUUUUCAAAAUAAAAACAUGAUUUAUGCAUACAUAACUUUUUAACAACCUUGGCGAACUCGGUUGGGAUAGCUCUCAGCCAAGGUAUCUCUAAUAACUGAGUAUGAGAAUGAUUUUUGGCACGAGCCAAGCUUUUCAGGAAAUCAUAAGCCUAGUUGUUUAUUUGGUUGAAAUGAAUUGAAAGGUAAUGAAAUUACAAUAUGAUGACUUAUUUUAAUUGUCUCCAUUUACUCGACUUUAGAUAGUUUAGAUGGUAUCUGUUUAUUUACUGAGAUUUUAUAAUUUCACCACCCUCCUUUUCAACCAUUUCAGGCCCAAGGUAACCUGUGGAUAGCAGAUAUUGUCAAGGAUUAUAGUCGACUUUACUACUCCAAAAACUGUAGGUUUUCUGCCUUUGUGCACUUUUGUUCCUUGUGGGCCCACGAGUCACUGGAAAGUAAAUUUCCAUAUCCCAGUUAUUUGUAUUAUAGUACAUAUGAAUUUAUUUAGCUUUUACAUUACAAAAAUUAUUUACCGAUGACUCUAUAAAUAUUGUUUUACAAGAAAUUAGAAUAUUUUAUUGAAUAUUUUUAUUUUAUUCAAAUAGUUGUAAUAUCAUUUUUAAUAAAUGUUUUAG
RNAcentral lists this long non-coding RNA (1984 nucleotides) under Theobroma cacao (cacao). Its description in RNAcentral is "long non-coding RNA (TCAC_LNC001284)". Lineage: Eukaryota; Viridiplantae; Streptophyta; Magnoliopsida; Malvales; Malvaceae. The record is from RNAcentral.